CUGUCAAUCAGGGCCCAAUCAGCUGACUGUCAGCUGGGACGGGCGGGGUUAACCCUUCCCGCGCCGCCGCGCCGCUCCGGGGAGGGAGGGAGCGGCCCAGGCGCAAAGUUUGGUGCUAGAGCGACAGGAGUUUCCCGAGGGGCGGCGGGAGGCCGUAGGGCCGGGGGGAAGGUGUGCUGGCUCCGGGCGCGCCCCAGGCCUCCCGGCCGCGCUGGCUGCCUCCGGCUCCCCUAGCCGCUCGCUUCUUUUCCUUCCCUGCGCCUUCCGCACCCCAGGUGGGGAAGGACGCUAAGAGGGUGCACUGGAAAAAAAAUCUGGGAAGCCUGCAAAAGGAUUGAAGAGUGGAAACUAUUGUUGGACCGAGUUGGUUUUUACCUCAACAGCGCCACCUUUCGGCAAAGGUCGCCAGGAUGCUUAUCUUGUUCGGAACUCAGCCUGUAUCUUUCCAAGAUGGAACUGGGUGGAAAACACAGCUGAGAUGCACAGGCCUCGGAGCCAAGGUGGAAUGCGAUGAAUCCUGCCAGUGAACUCUGUGUGGGGAGGGAUGAGAUUAAGCACUGGAAGUGGCGAGGUGUCUGCUGCUGUCCAGAGGCCCACUCCGGCUCUGCAUCACAGAUGCUCCCCAAGGCUUCAAGCCACACCGACGGGACGGAAUUUUGUGAUCUUCAGAUGAUAACACAAACCUGCCCCAUUUCCACAGGCCCGUAUCCUGCCCAUUCCUCAAGGCACAGUGCAGAUUCAGGCUUGCAGCUGAAGCUCUGAACAGGGUCUGGCGUCUGCUAUGCCUUUAGUGAGAGUCAGAUGCUGGUGCUAUGACACGGGUCCUGGAAGCCUCCUGGGCCUUUCAUCUGGGAUCCCCGAGGUGCUAGUUCAGCCUCUCUUGGGGAGUCCUGAGCUGUAGCUUGGGAAGCAGCUUGGUGAAUGGCCAACCAGGACCGUGCCUGAUGGGAUUUGUGACCUGGGAGGUCUCUCUGUGCGUUUCCUGUCUCACUGUCUCCAUCUGCAUGGAUGAGUCACUUAGCC
This 1023-nucleotide long non-coding RNA is filed under the name Heterocephalus glaber (naked mole-rat). RNAcentral's name for it is "lncRNA (ENSHGLG00000038722.1)". Lineage: Eukaryota; Metazoa; Chordata; Mammalia; Rodentia; Bathyergidae. The record is from RNAcentral.